RNAcentral lists this ribosomal RNA (506 nucleotides) under Staphylococcus pseudintermedius. RNAcentral's name for it is "partial 23S ribosomal RNA". It matches the Rfam family "Bacterial large subunit ribosomal RNA", at positions 1780 to 2285 of the family's 2925-position model. The record is from RNAcentral. Lineage: Bacteria; Bacillati; Bacillota; Bacilli; Caryophanales; Staphylococcaceae.
CAGUGAAUAGGCCCAAGCGACUGUUUAUCAAAAACACAGGUCUCUGCUAAACCGUAAGGUGACGUAUAGGGGCUGACGCCUGCCCGGUGCUGGAAGGUUAAGAGGAGUGGUUAGCGCAAGCGAAGCUACGAAUCGAAGCCCCAGUAAACGGCGGCCGUAACUAUAACGGUCCUAAGGUAGCGAAAUUCCUUGUCGGGUAAGUUCCGACCCGCACGAAAGGCGUAACGAUUUGGGCACUGUCUCAACGAGAGACUCGGUGAAAUCAUAGUACCGGUGAAGAUGCCGGUUACCCGCGACAGGACGGAAAGACCCCGUGGAGCUUUACUGUAGCCUGAUAUUGAAAUUCGGUACAGUUUGUACAGGAUAGGUAGGAGCCUUAGAAGCGUGAGCGCUAGCUUACGUGGAGGCAUUGGUGGGAUACUACCCUAAUUGUAUUGGAUUUCUAACCCGCAGCACUUAUCGUGCUGGGAGACAGUGUCAGGCGGGCAGUUUGACUGGGGCGGUCG